Molecule: transfer RNA, 77 nt
Filed under: Propionibacteriaceae bacterium
Lineage: Bacteria; Bacillati; Actinomycetota; Actinomycetes; Propionibacteriales; Propionibacteriaceae
Description: tRNA-Phe
Rfam family: tRNA
About the family: Transfer RNA (tRNA) molecules are approximately 80 nucleotides in length. Their secondary structure includes four short double-helical elements and three loops (D, anti-codon, and T loops).
Source: RNAcentral
GGCCAGGUAGCUCAGUCGGUAGUAGCGCAUCCCUGAAAAGGAUGAGGUCGUCGGUUCGAUCCCGACCUUGGCCACCA